RNAcentral lists this ribosomal RNA (585 nucleotides) under uncultured Sanguibacter sp. Its description in RNAcentral is "bacterial SSU rRNA". It matches the Rfam family "Bacterial small subunit ribosomal RNA", at positions 335 to 917 of the family's 1533-position model. The record is from RNAcentral. Lineage: Bacteria; Bacillati; Actinomycetota; Actinomycetes; Micrococcales; Sanguibacteraceae.
ACUCCUACGGGAGGCAGCAGUGGGGAAUAUUGCACAAUGGGCGAAAGCCUGAUGCAGCGACGCCGCGUGAGGGAUGAAGGCCUUCGGGUUGUAAACCUCUUUCAGCAGGGAAGAAGUGUCUGGGUUUUCUCGGGCGUGACGGUACCUGCAGAAGAAGCACCGGCUAACUACGUGCCAGCAGCCGCGGUAAUACGUAGGGUGCAAGCGUUGUCCGGAAUUAUUGGGCGUAAAGAGCUUGUAGGCGGUUUGUCGCGUCUGCUGUGAAAUUUCGGGGCUCAACCCCGAACUUGCAGUGGGUACGGGCAGACUAGAGUGUGGUAGGGGAGACUGGAAUUCCUGGUGUAGCGGUGAAAUGCGCAGAUAUCAGGAGGAACACCGAUGGCGAAGGCAGGUCUCUGGGCCACUACUGACGCUGAGAAGCGAAAGCAUGGGGAGCGAACAGGAUUAGAUACCCUGGUAGUCCAUGCCGUAAACGUUGGGAACUAGGUGUAGAGGGUAUCGACCCCUUCUGUGCCGGAGUUAACGCAAUAAGUACCCCGCCUGGGGAGUACGGCCGCAAGGUUGAAACUCAAAUGAAUUGACGGA